AAUACGGUUUACACUUAGCGUUUCCCCUCGGGAAUUAUUUUUAUGGGUUUUGAUAAAAGAGUGAGAUAAAUAUUUGGUUUAUAAAAUUCAUUUGAGUUUUGGUCACUAAAGAGUGAAGUUAUUUAAUAAAAACAAUAAAGGGUGUUGCGACGUGAAAUAAGCUGUGUUGGUUUGGUGUAGUGUUUUACUACAAGAAAGGGUCUACACGUCACCAUCUCUACUUUGGAGUCGCCCAAGCGCCCAGUUGUUUUACAAG
Molecule: long non-coding RNA, 256 nt
Organism: Anthonomus grandis grandis
Lineage: Eukaryota; Metazoa; Arthropoda; Insecta; Coleoptera; Curculionidae
Exons: 2
Source: RefSeq, a predicted model, not a curated record